This 585-nucleotide ribosomal RNA is filed under the name Bipolaris zeicola. RNAcentral's name for it is "eukaryotic LSU rRNA". It matches the Rfam family "Eukaryotic large subunit ribosomal RNA", at positions 1 to 589 of the family's 3401-position model. The record is from RNAcentral. Lineage: Eukaryota; Fungi; Ascomycota; Dothideomycetes; Pleosporales; Pleosporaceae.
UUGACCUCGGAUCAGGUAGGGAUACCCGCUGAACUUAAGCAUAUCAAUAAGCGGAGGAAAAGAAACCAACAGGGAUUGCCCUAGUAACGGCGAGUGAAGCGGCAACAGCUCAAAUUUGAAAUCUGGCUCUUUCAGAGUCCGAGUUGUAAUUUGCAGAGGGCGCUUUGGCUUUGGCAGCGGUCCAAGUUCCUUGGAACAGGACGUCACAGAGGGUGAGAAUCCCGUACGUGGUCGCUAGCUAUUGCCGUGUAAAGCCCCUUCGACGAGUCGAGUUGUUUGGGAAUGCAGCUCUAAAUGGGAGGUAAAUUUCUUCUAAAGCUAAAUAUUGGCCAGAGACCGAUAGCGCACAAGUAGAGUGAUCGAAAGAUGAAAAGCACUUUGGAAAGAGAGUCAAACAGCACGUGAAAUUGUUGAAAGGGAAGCGCUUGCAGCCAGACUUGCUUGCAGUUGCUCAUCCGGGCUUUUGCCCGGUGCACUCUUCUGUAGGCAGGCCAGCAUCAGUUUGGGCGGUGGGAUAAAGGUCUCUGUCACGUACCUCUCUUCGGGGAGGCCUUAUAGGGGAGACGACAUACCACCAGCCUAGAC